AAGUGCGGCAGCUACAAUGCAAGUCGAGCGGGGAUAGGGUUUCGGCCCUAUUCUAGCGGCGGACGGGUGAGUAACGCGUGAACAAUCUGUCCUAUACAGGGGGAUAACACUUGGAAACAGGUGCUAAUACCGCAUAAGCCCACAACCCGGCAUCGGGGAGGGGGAAAAGGAGCGAUUCGGUAUAGGGUGAGUUCGCGUCCCAUUAGCUAGUUGGUGAGGUAAAGGCCCACCAAGGCGACGAUGGGUAGCCGACCUGAGAGGGUGAUCGGCCACACUGGAACUGAGAAACGGUCCAGACUCCUACGGGAGGCAGCAGUGGGGAAUAUUGGGCAAUGGGGGAAACCCUGACCCAGCAACGCCGCGUGAGGGAAGAAGGCUUUCGGGUCGUAAACCUCUGUCCCAUGGGAAGAGCAAGAGACGGUACCAUGGGAGGAAGCCCCGGCUAACUACGUGCCAGCAGCCGCGGUAAUACGUAGGGGGCGAGCGUUGUCCGGAAUGACUGGGCGUAAAGGGCGCGUAGGUGGCCUUUCAAGUCUGGAGUGAAAGUCCUGCUUUUAAGGUGGGAAUGGCUUUGGAAACUGAGAGGCUUGAGUGUGGGAGAGGAUAGCGGAAUUCCCGGUGUAGCGGUGAAAUGCGUAGAGAUCGGGAGGAACACCAGUGGCGAAGGCGGCUAUCUGGACCAAGACUGACACUGAGGCGCGAAAGCGUGGGUAGCAAACAGGAUUAGAUACCCUGGUAGUCCACGCUGUAAACGAUGGAUGCUAGGUGUAGGAGGUAUCGACCCCUUCUGUGCCGGAGUAACGCAAUAAGCAUCCCGCCU
This 820-nucleotide ribosomal RNA is filed under the name uncultured rumen bacterium. RNAcentral's name for it is "bacterial SSU rRNA". It matches the Rfam family "Bacterial small subunit ribosomal RNA", at positions 40 to 874 of the family's 1533-position model. The record is from RNAcentral.